UACGAAGGGGGCUAGCGUUGCUCGGAAUCACUGGGCGUAAAGGGUGCGUAGGCGGGUCUUUAAGUCAGGGGUGAAAUCCUGGAGCUCAACUCCAGAACUGCCUUUGAUACUGAAGAUCUUGAGUUCGGGAGAGGUGAGUGGAACUGCGAGUGUAGAGGUGAAAUUCGUAGAUAUUCGGAAGAACACCAGUGGCGAAGGCGGCUCACUGGACUGGUAUUGACGCUGAGGUACGAAAGCGUGGGGAGCAAACAGG
Molecule: ribosomal RNA, 253 nt
Filed under: uncultured bacterium
Lineage: Bacteria
Description: partial 16S ribosomal RNA
Rfam family: Bacterial small subunit ribosomal RNA
Source: RNAcentral